GAUGAACGCUGACAGAAUGCUUAACACAUGCAAGUCGACUCGAGUCUUCGGACUUGGGUGGCGGACGGGUGAGUAACGCGUAAAGAACUUGCCUCAUAGUCUGGGACAACAUUUGGAAACGGAUGCUAAUACCGGAUAUUAUGCUUUCUUCGCAUGGAGGAAGUAUGAAAGCUAUAUGCGCUAUGAGAGAGCUUUGCGUCCCAUUAGCUAGUUGGUGAGGUAACGGCCCACCAAGGCGAUGAUGGGUAGCCGGCCUGAGAGGGUGAACGGCCACAAGGGGACUGAGACACGGCCCUUACUCCUACGGGAGGCAGCAGUGGGGAAUAUUGGACAAUGGACCAAAAGUCUGAUCCAGCAAUUCUGUGUGCACGAUGACGUUUUUCGGAAUGUAAAGUGCUUUCAGUCGGGAAGAAGCAAGUGACGGUACCGGCAGAAGAAGCGACGGCUAAAUACGUGCCAGCAGCCGCGGUAAUACGUAUGUCGCAAGCGUUAUCCGGAUUUAUUGGGCGUAAAGCGCGUCUAGGCGGCAAGGAAAGUCUGAUGUGAAAAUACGGGGCUCAACUCCGUAUUGCGUUGGAAACUGCCUUACUAGAGUACUGGAGAGGUAGGCGGAACUACAAGUGUAGAGGUGAAAUUCGUAGGUAUUUGUAGGAAUGCCGAUGGGGAAGCCAGCCUACUGGACAGAUACUGACGCUAAAGCGCGAAAGCGUGGGUAGCAAACAGG
This 724-nucleotide ribosomal RNA is filed under the name uncultured Fusobacterium sp. Its description in RNAcentral is "bacterial SSU rRNA". It matches the Rfam family "Bacterial small subunit ribosomal RNA", at positions 28 to 776 of the family's 1533-position model. Lineage: Bacteria; Fusobacteriati; Fusobacteriota; Fusobacteriia; Fusobacteriales; Fusobacteriaceae. The record is from RNAcentral.